UCGUACUCGUCGGGUAUCGGGUAU
Molecule: microRNA, 24 nt
Filed under: Glycine max (soybean)
Lineage: Eukaryota; Viridiplantae; Streptophyta; Magnoliopsida; Fabales; Fabaceae
Description: gma-miR4390
Source: miRBase by way of RNAcentral